Molecule: long non-coding RNA, 656 nt
Filed under: Pogona vitticeps (central bearded dragon)
Lineage: Eukaryota; Metazoa; Chordata; Lepidosauria; Squamata; Agamidae
Description: lncRNA (ENSPVIG00000016032.1)
Source: RNAcentral
AGGCACACACAUUCAUCCUGGAGUCUUGUGAAUAUAAACCUGGGAAGACACAUACACCACAUUGAUCUUAUCGGAGGAAAUGCAAGAUAUAGAUGAUAAUGUGUGUGAAACCAAGCCAUCUAACAGGCUUUUCAGUUUCAGAGUUCUGCAUAAAAUACUGCUGUUCGAAGCCAAAUAUGCAUCAGAACUCAAGUAUUUGAAGGAGCACCUGCUUCCACAUGAACCCAUCUGUGCACUGAAAUCAUCUCCACCGGUCCUCCUGUAAACUUGCCCAGUAUCUGAGACCAUCUCUGUAUUGAACAUUGUGCCCAGAAACUACCUUGCCAUUAUGAAGAGUGAAGUGGCCUCUUGAGGAAGCAAAUAUCAGGUAUCAUGAAAAGAUAUCAAAUUGUUGGUUACUUAAUAUUUUUGUUAUAAGAUUUUUUUUUAAACCAGGAUGUGAUGAAUUGCUGAUGGGACUUCUGCCUCAUGUCCCAAAAUAACUAGCCUAACUUUAGAUAUUAUGUACCAUGGGCAGGUGUAUAAAAGAGUUUGCCCUUUUCUCCUCUGCCUCAGGCAGCAAAAUGGUUUGGGAUGGACUUGGCAGUGUUUAUUCUACAUUUCCUCAUUUUAGGGAUGAGAUGGCAAGAAGUUAGCUGGCCAGGUUACAUUGACCU